CACUGAAUGUAUAGUCCAACUUCAUUUGAAUCCCAACUGUGUGAGUUAAAUGAGUUCAUUUCCACUUCCUGACUUGUAGAAAUGGAAUUAUAUGUGAAAGCUCUGUGUAAACUUUGAGGCACUGAGCAAGCUUGAUUAUUUAUUAUGUUGAUCUCUGAUUAAGCAAAGCUGGGAGUGCGUAGUGCCUCAUCCUACUCCCCACCCAUCUUGCCCCGGUUAUUCUUUCCCUCAGAGGACAGUCCAGCCAGGCACAGCAGUGGGGCCUCAGCCACGUGACAUGCAGAUCCCUGUCCUUGUGCCUACGCACCAUUUGCAUUGACUUUACUUAGCUUCAGGCAUGAGAGGAGCAAAUAGAACUUUUCACCCAGGACUGACUUCACUUCACAGCUUCCCUCACCUUUUGAAUGUGUAUAUAUUGAAACCAGGGAAAAUGGAAUGAAAAUGAAAAAAACAUCAUUAGUUUUUCACAGGGGUCAGAAGAAACCAGGUCAUUUAAACUUUCACCAGUGAAGCCCUGUUUCACCUGAACAAAUGACAAAAAGGGAGCAGGUGCCCCCUUUUUUGUGGCUGUUCAUAUCCUACCUAAGGUCAGAACCUGUCACUGACAAAAGGCAAAGCUUAUCCAAGCAUAGUUCAAAGCCACUUUUGUAUAAAGGCUUAAACCACUGGAAUGAAUUUUUUAGAUGCCCCAGGAAUUCAGUCUCGUGGCCUGAUUAAAAGCAGAGAGGUAAUAGGUUUAGUUCUUUGCAUUGCCCACAUUACCCUCAGAAUAUAAAUUAAUCUCUGCAUUGUUAGUACUGAGGCAGUGUAUUACACAUUCUUUUUUAUAUUAUGAAGAGGUUAUCAGAACCUUUCACACUGUUACCAUUUGUAACACUGGCAAAUUCACUUAACCUCUCUGUGCUUCAGUUUCCUUAUCUGUAAAACAAAGAUAAUCACUGUCCACACCUCACAGAGUUGUGAGGAUUAAACAAUAAUGUAAUAAGUAUUCUAAUAAAAUAAUAGUUCCUGGCUGGGUACAGUGGCUCAUGUGUAUAAUCCCAGCACUUUAAGAGGCAAAGGCAGGAGGAUCACUUAAGCCCAGGAGUUUGUGACCAGCCUGGGCAACAUAGUGAGACCCUGUCUCUAUAAAUAAAUAAAUAAAUAAAUAGCCAGUCAUGGUUGCACACGCCUGUGGUCUCAGCUACUUGGAAGUCUGAGGUGAAAGGAUCACUUGAGCCUGAAGUCAUGGCUACAGUGAACCAUGAUAGCACUACUGCACUCCAGCCUGGGGGACAGAGCAAGACCUUAUCUCAAAAAAAAGUCAAUUCCUGGCACAUCAUUAGUGUAGUAAAAGUUGUUGCUGGCCGGGAACGGUGACUCGUGCCUGUAAUCCUAACACUUUGGGAGGCCAAGGCGAGUGAAUAAUGAGGUCAAGAGAUUGAGACCAUCCUGGCCAACAUGGUGAAACCCCAUCUCUACUAAAACACAAAAAAUAGCCAGGUGUGGUGGCACGUGCCUGUAGUCCCAGCUACUCAGGAGGCUGAAGCAGGGAAUCCCUUGUACUGGGAGGUGGAGGUUGCAGUGAGCCGAGACCACACCACUGCACUCCAGCCUGAUGACAGAGAGAGACUCCGUCUCAAAAAAAAGUUGUUGUUGUUGAUGAUAUUAACUAAUGAUUUUUAAAUUAAAUCAAAGAGAACUUACCAUGCACAAAUUCCAUGCUGGGGUUCUGUACACAUGCAGAUGAGUUAGAAAUAUCUAACGGGGCCCAGUUACCAUUUAGAUGGGAAGAAUUUCCAUUAGAUGUUCCUGUCCUUUCUCAUCACACUCUUCUUUCUGGGUAUAAAGAGUUUAUAUCAGCUGCCAGACUCAGCAUCAGACCAGUAAAACUGCAUGGCUUAUCAUGGCAGGCCCUUAGUGUUUCCUCAUCUACAAAAUGAGAAUAACUCCUGUGCUGUCUAACUUCACUGUGUUUUUGUAGAGCCAAUGACAGUGUAUGCGAAAGUUCUUUAUAAACAGGGAAAGCCUAUGCACAUCGAAGGUAGUAUACUGGGUCUUUAAUUACUAGACAGAGUUUCUCAUGAAGCUCUUUUAUUUAAUUUUACCAAAUAGGACUGAAAGUUCACAAUUUACACAUAGGUCAUAUUUUAUAAAAAUCUUUUUCUGAUUGGAACUUUUACCUUUUUGCUAUUUUAGGUAAAAUGACUAGGUAGGUUGAUAAUUUCUAAAAAGUAUCAUUUUAGUCACUGUAAGAUCAGUAGCGGGGCAGAUCUUACAAGGCAAUCUCAAUAUACUGUACCAGAAAAUAUGAAUUUGCAGCUAUGUCUGAGCCUGUGUUCCUAGGAACCAGGAGAUCCAUGAAAUGAUCUACUGGAGAGACCCUGGUGGGAUACCCUCUGAAAGUUUCUUUAUAUAUUCUGCCAGGGACGGCCCAGAUCUCCUGGUGAGUUUCUUGAUGCAAGUGCAGCAGAACACCAGGGCUGCCUGUCACUGAGGCCCCCAGAGCAACAGGUCACGCUGUACCCUCUUCUUCCGCUCCUGCAUCCUGAACUAGGGGAAACAGCUGCCUACACAAAAGCAGUCUUCUAACCAGAAUAGCCCUACUGCCCUGUCCCCUGGGGACAGGAGAGCCUGGAUCAAGCUUUAUCCUGUCCGGAAGCAGGAUUCCAUCUACCAGACCAGCGGCUGCAGCCACAGUAUAGACACAGUAACUACCCGCCCACAUGCUAUUGGCAAUGGUUUUUCAGGCUGGUUAAUCGUCUAUAGAAAAAGCAAAAAGCCAAUUUAUAAAGAUUUAAUCAGAGCCCUCUGGCGGUCACUGUGCAGUCUCACUACUUUUGUUUAAGUUUCCAAGAAGUACUAGAAGAAAAUGGUUUCUGCAAACCUUUUAGAGCUGGGAAGUUUUAGAGAUCUGCUGGCUCACUCAGAGAGUGAAAUGACACUUCACCGUUUGAAUCACAGUCAAUUCAAAGGCACAGGCGGCAGCUUACCAAGUAGCAGCUACUUUCCAUGUGAGGGUUCAUUAAAGGAGAGAGCAUCUGUCUUUGUGUCCCUCUUUUUGCCCAGAGCCUUUGAACUAACAUUUCAUGUUAGUUCUUGUGCCUUGUUUGAGACAAUUAUUUUCCUCAGAACAUAUUGCGGAGGUUUGUCAGAUUUUCCAAAAUUCAGGGUGGAAAUUAUGGUACUUUAUCAUGUUCCCAUGGAUUCAUAGUUCCUUUUUAUUUCACUUUCUUUAAAACAAAUCCUUUGAAGUUGAUAGGUAUGUUCCUUAAAACUCAGCUUGACUAAUACUAUUAAGAAACGUUAUGCUAACAAUGUCAGUCCUACCUUAGAUAAAAUUAUUGCAACAAUGGUGUCCUAGGUCCUGUGAUCUGUAAUAAGGCUGUGUUUCCAACAGAAUAUGAAAAAAAAAAAAUAUUUCAAUACAAACAUCAAAGAAAAGAUCAUCUUUAGUCUCUCUUCAUCUUUGAUAUUUUAAAGUUUCCAAAUGUUGUGGUUGGAAUUGACAAUUUAGACAGUCGUUAUUCUCAAGAUGAGACAAGCUGUACUGGAAAACAUUCAAGCUUAUCUCAGCAUGUUUUUUAAUCUAACAUUUACUGAGUUCUUACUAUGAACAAAGCAUUUUGCUAGGGCAUUAAACCUCUGAAAGACAUGCACAGUUAUGAUGCCCAUUUUAGAGAGAAGAAGACUGAGGCUUAAAGCUAGUCUGACAGAUAUUAUAAAGAUAAGGCAGCAUAAUUAGGCCACAGUCACUCAGCUAGUAGUAACUGGUAGAGUUGUGAUUUGUAGGCAAAUAUUCUAAUUUCCAGAGCCCCCUUUCUUACUCAGUAUUCUGUAUCUUCCAUCUCCAUUUUGUCUCUUUUCCUACCAUAAACUCACCAUCAAAUUGUCUAACUUUCCAUUCACUGGCCACAUGCUACACUGAUCUAAUUUAGAUAAUGAUCUAAAAGCUCCCAUCUAAAUUGUAUUCAUCCAUCAAGGAUGUAUAAGUUAGGACUGAGAUCGUCUGUGGGUAACAGAAAACCCAGUUAACACUGGGGCAGAACAUUGGUUAAGGGCACACUACCUGUUUUCAAAGUUCAGCCGUUCCACAUGCUGAGUUACUUGGGAUAACAAUGGUAGCCACUGGUUCAUAUGAAGAUUAACUCUGAAUUCAUGUAAACUGACUAGAAAGUCCUAGAAACAUUUGCUGUUGUCAUUAUUUAAACUAAUAAGUGGAUUUAAUUUCUCACAUUAAAAAAAAAAAUCAGAUGUAGGCAGUCCAGGUGGUGCAGCCACAUCACAAAGCCAGGAAGGAACCAGGCUCCUUCUGUCUCCCUGCUUGGACAUUUCCUGCAUGUCAGUUUCAUUCUCUGGGUUGUAAAAUCUAAGUGCCUCCUUCAGCAUUCCAGGCAGAACAAAGAGGAGAGAUGAGGGACAAAAAUGACUUAUUUGAAUAGCCUUUGGCUUUUCUUCCAGAAGAAAAGGCCUCCUAAAGUUUUUCUCCUUCAGCUCAUUAGCCACAAUGAUGUCCUAUGGUCAUUUCGCUUCAGUGGAAGGGAGAAGUUUAAUCCUUCAUUUUCCUCUCCAGUGGAGGAAGGCAGGGGAGAAUGGGAUUGGGAAUGUGUGUUGAGUGAACUGACCUCUAGUACCAUCCAAGAGACCCAUCUCAAACCACACCGACUUGUCUUCCCCAAUUAUCAACAUUACCAAUGCCAUUUCUUCGGUGCUAAUUUUUGGUUCAUUCUGCCUUAGAACCAUACUUUUGCAUGAGUGGUCUCUUCUCAACCUUCAGGUUCCAGUUAAUGUCUUCUCCUUAGAAAGAAAUCCUCUAACCACCCAUUGAAUAUACGUCCCUCUCUUACUCUCUUUUUUAGCACCCUGUUUAUUUCCUUUAUAAUGCUUAAUUCAAUUUUCAAGAUGAGAGGGAUAAUACUUGUUGAAUUCCUGAUAAGCAGGGCUUUCUCCCUGCCCAUGGUAUACAACUAUGGCCCUAGUAAGAGGACAGGUUACUGACACCUCAGGAAGGAGGAUAUACUGUGGAGCUCACAUCAAAGAGGAUGUGGAAAACCAUCCCCUUCCUCCUGCAGUAGAUAACUGAAAGAAAAAAGGAAAUUAAAUUAGAGCUAAGGGGUCAGGCAUCAGUGCAGAGCUAAGAAUAUUGGGAUUCAUGGCCCACCUCUAGAGAAUAGUCUGAGAAGAUGGCAGAGCUCUCAAAGAAAUCUCAAGUUCAACAUGGUACUAAUUUAACUAGGUCAGGCACAGUAAUUUCAUAGCUGUACAAGGCAGUAGCUAGAUGUUGAACAAAUGAAUGAAUUACUCUGAAAGAUCAUUUUGAUGGGAUGUGACUAUUCUGAUGGGAACUGGGAUCUUGGCCUCACUACCGUGUAGGUACAAUGCGAUGUUUUGCUUCCCUGGAAAGACGAUGACCUCUUUAAGGCAGAGACUGCCUUUUUCUUCUUUGCAUCCCCUUUGGGGUCUCUCAUUGAGGCACUUCAUGGGUGUGUGUUAAUUGAUUGAAAAGGAGGAUGAAAAUUAAAAUAACAGAAUUAGGAAGAUGCAAAAGAGUAUAAGUCCCAAGGUUGCCUGUAUUUUUCUUCAGAGUGGGCCUUAGAGCUCACCAGAAAAAGAGAGAUACCGUAGAUGAUAUAGGCAGAUACUGCCUGCUCACUUCUGUGUUUCAGUACUACUUUGGGAUGGAAGAAUAGCCUUGAAGUUGAUAAGAUUCCCAGGGGAUAUCUGAGAUAAGAAAACAAAUAUUUAACUGUAAGCAAUGGGGCUUUGUGCUUCAAUCAUGACUUGUAUCAUACACAUCAAGAACUAAGCUGUCUUGAAAUCUUGAUUGACCUUUUAGGUUUCAUUUUGUUUCCCUACCAAAAGAUUAACUUGGAUUUCUUAAACAAAACUAUUUGCUUGGUAGAAAUGUAGAUUUUGUAUUCCUUGUUUGCUGACUUGUGAAACCAUCAGAAGGAUCAAAUGAGAUGUAUAUGAAACACUUAGUAUGCUGGAAGGUGCUAUGUGGAUGAAAAUUAUAUCUUAUGAAUAUUACCAUUAGCCUCUGUUUUAGGCCCUCUUUAUAGGAAAAGAUACUGAAAGCAGAAAAGUCCAAUAGUUUUUCAGGGCUUUGGGUUAAAGAUGGAAGAUUGAACUUUUACUUUUGCCUCCUCCUGAAAGCUUAAAAUAACAAUAGAAGGAUAAGGGGAAAUGUAAUUAAGCCACAAAAACAAAGAACCCGAGAGAAGGCAACAGCAACAAACUUUUGAGAGUCAAAAAGCAGGAAUAAAAAAGAGUGGCAACUGACUCAACAGAGCAAGGAAAAACAAAUCUGUGGCCAGCCAGCAUUGGGGAGACCCAAGAUAUGCUCUGAUCUACACAGAAGAAGUACCAAAGGCCUCAGGAAUUGCAGCUUAAAGUGGGCUGCGACGAGGAGGAUUGGUUAAAUAUUUUUUUUAAUGUAGCAAACUGCCUUUUCCUCAAAUCAUCCUUUGUCCACUUAGCUGAAGCAAGUUGAGACCUCUUAUCCGUUCUGGCUGAAGAAGUUAAUUCUCUGGCAAAGUUGUCACGGAAGGUGUCCCCACUUGUGGAGACUCUGACACAACUGAGGUUGGGCAUGCCCUGUUGAAAAUAAGUGAUGGAUAUUGAAACAUCUCAACCCUUCUUUCCACUUAUCUCUCAGAAUUCUGACAGCCUUUUACCCUCCACAUAGAUCAAAGAUCGAGAAGCAGAAAGAAAUACCAUUUGACCCAGCAAUCCAAUUACUGGGUAUAUACCCAAAGGAAUAUAAUUCAUCCUAUUGUAAAGACACAUGCACGUGUGUGUUCAUUGCAGCACUAUUCACAACAGCAAAGACCCAGAACCAACCCAAAUGCCCAUCAAUAAUAGACUGUAUAAAGAAAAUGUGUACCUAUACCCCAUGGAAUACUAUGCAGCCAUAAAAAGAAACAUCAUGCCCUUUGCAGGGACAUGGAUGGAGCUGUAAGCUGAUCCUCAGCAAACUAACGCAGGAACAGAAAACCAAACACUGCAUAUUCUCACUUACAAGUGGGAGCUGAACAAUGAGAAAAAGUAAACACAUGGUGGGGCACAACACACACUGGGGCCUGCCACAGGGGUCGGGGAGGGAGAGUCUCAGAGAGAAUAGCUAAUGGGUGCUGGGCUUAAUACCCAGAUGAUGGGUCGAUCUGUGCAGCAAAUCACCAUGGCACAUGUUUACUUAUGUAACAAACCAGCACAUCCUGCACAUGUACACCAGAACUUAAAAUAAAAUUUGAUGAAAAAAAUAAAAUAAUGUCCAUGUUUAAAUAUGAGUAGAAAACCAGAGACCACUCCCCAAAGAAAACUGGGGAAAAUUUCUAAUAAAAAAUAAAUAUGGCCAGGUGCAGUGUCUUGGCUCACGUUUGUAAUCCCAGCACUUUGGGAGGCUGAGGCAGAAGGAUCACUUGAACCCACAAGUUCAAGACCAGACUAGCCUACAUAUUAAGACCCCCCAUCUCUAAAAAAAUUUUUUUUUAAUUGGCCAGGGAUGGUGACAUAUGCCUGUGGUCUUAGCUACUCAGGAGGCUGAGGUGGGAGGAGCCUCCUUGAGCCAAGGAGAUCUAGGUUGCAGUGAAUCAUGAUUGUGCCACAGCACUCCAGCCUUGGUGAAAGAGAGAGAGACCCUGUCUCAAACAAAAAAGUAUGGAAUUUUGUAUACAAGAGAUUCAACAUAAUAGAGGCAAAAAAAGUUAUCAGAAUUGUAGGGUGCAGAAAAGUUAGUGAAAACUGGACUGGAUCAGAGGAUCCAUCAGAGAUGUCAUCAGGUAGAUGAAAUUGACAAUACUUAAUAUAUUUAGACAUACUGAGAGGAGAUAUAGAUAUUUGUGGGUUGAAUUUGUAAUGAAUUGGUGGUAGGAAUUAGAUGCUUAGAAACCUAAGGCAGCAAAAAACAAGUCUAUUAUUAACUCUAAAACGUUAGAAAGGAAAGGAAAUGUUAUCACCUUAUACAAUAGUAUCUCAGCUGUGAACAGCAUUGGUUGUUAUAAUAAUGUUAAUAAUAAAUAUUUCCCUGACCAAAAGUAUCAUAUAAGUAUCCACUGAGAGGACAGAAGCGUGGUGUUUCUGCAGUAUGGGAGUGGAGAAGUGGUUGUGGUGAGGGGUCAUAGAGAAAGAGCUGAUUUCUCAUCUCCCAAGGUGGGAGUCAAUGGCAAAGUCCUAAAUUAACAGUAUAAACAUGAUAGAGAUGUGAAGGUCAAUACCAAACUAAAUGGCCAACAAAGUUGAAAGUUACCAUCUCUCAGAAGGGGAAAUGCAUACGUGUAUGUGCUUGGGUGGUGGAUACUGCACUCAUUAUUAAAGAUUUUGUGUACAUGUCACUUUAUUACAACUAUAAACUAAAUUUCCUAAAAAGUCACCUAAAUUGCCAAACUAUAUUUUUGCACAAGGGGCAAAAUUAUAGGUUCUCACCUUGAAUUUUUUCUUUGUUCGUUGGAUUUUACAACUUGUCCCACUUCUAAGCACUUGAGGUACUGAAUCUACAAACAAACAGUGGCCAGAAUAUAUAUAAAAAUAGAACUUUGAUGCACAAUCUCCUGCAACCAGCUGGGGAAGCCAAACAGUUAUCUAUAUUAACCAGUUCGUGAAAGCAGCCUGCUGUAACUCUGACCUAUAAGAAGUGAGACUACACUCUCUAGCAACCAGUGCAGGAAAUUAAAAAAAUAACCUCUGUAGCAUUCAGCCCCAAAAGCCCAGAACUUGAUUAAUAAUUGACAGCUUUCCUAAUUUUUGUCCCUGCUUCCAACUUAGGACCAAUCAGAGAAAGCCAAAUAUAUGCCCCAAACCAAUCACAUUGGAUGCCCUGCUCCCAGUUAGCAGCCUCCAAUUUCCCUGGCCAGUGGCCUCCAAUCAGGGCACACUUGGAACCUGCCUCUUCUCCACUAUAAAACCCUCCCACUCUUCUCCAUGCCUUUGAGUCUUGGCAAAAUACAAGUAAUGGUGGCCGACUACCUUGCUAUAACAAGCUCUGUAUAAAUAUCCUUUGCUUGUUCUCAUUUGCUUGGUCUUCAUUUAUUUCUACAUACUAUUUUUAGGUAUUAAACAUUUUUAAAGAUUGAGAACCAUUUGAUUUGUCAAAAAUUAAUGCCCACUAAAGCAAUGAUCCAAGUUCAAAAAGAUUUAAUCGUUUCCUGAAAAAAAUCCUUAUAUUUAUCCACUCACGUGUUGCAUUCUAUUUCCAUGUGCAAAGUGCUACACUGGGUAUUAUGGAAAAUACAAAAAUAAAUUAGACUAUUUGAGUAUUUCACAUAAUUGGAUUUAAUAAUUUCAGAGUUUCUUAAAUUCAGAUAAUCAAAGUUAUCUUAAGAUUAGGUAACUUGAAGCUGUAUUCAUACUUUUAAGAAAGUGGAACAUAACUUUAAAAAUCAAGUUGCCAAAAUGAGAGAUCAAGUUGUACUUCCAUAUUUUUUAUUUUACAUUUUCUCUCACAUAGUCCAAUUGAAGUUUUCUUAUUUAACUAUCUUGGCAUAUGUCGAAAAUUUGCUUUUUCUCCCUUGAAAUCUUAACUACUACAAAUACAAAUAUUAAGUGUAUUUCAUUUACCCACUGAAUUGAACUGAAUUUAAAACUGAAUUGCAGAUGUCCCAUGAAGGGGCACAUAUAUGAUUAUGGAAAAUGAUUCUAUUGAAAAUAACAGUAGCUUUUAUAGUGAUAUAAAUCUGAGAAAGCAAAAUAAAUUGAGGUUGGAAAAACAGAUGUAUUCAAUAAAAAACUACUGUGUGCACGUGGUGAACUAGUCUUUAGCAAGAUUCGAAUAAUGCAAUCAGUAGGAAUUUUGCUGGCCUGUGGAGUUUUCAAAGGCAUGGAUGUUCGAAUAAUAGCUAGAAAUUUGUUGUGGACACGGGGCUAUUAAGCCUGUCUCCCGCUGCAUUCAAUAUAGUGGUAAAAACUAUUAUUAAAUAACUGAUUUUAUAGCAACUGUUACAAUUAUUUGACCAAACUAUAAAUUAAAGUUUAUGAUGGAUGCAAAUGUACAUCUUAAAAUGUAUAAUACUAAUUUAGGUUCCUUUCUCAUUUUAAAAUAACCAUUCAGAUGACAGAACAGUGAUUACCAAAAUAAGAGCAAAUUAAUAAGGCUGACAGGAAGACUUCUCGAAAGUGUGAAACAUUAAAUGUGCCUUUACUUUUCAAACACAGAAUCCUACAAUUAUCAGGGGCCUCGUCCCUCACUGAGUGCACACCACUCCCAUUAGCGGUAAUGGCACUGAUGCACAUGAAACCCCGAGAAACAAUCAAGGGUCACAAAUGACGGAUCUGGUUCCCAAGCCUCCUGUGUCACAUGUUGAGGUCCACCACACCUGGUGAAGAGGAACUGUAACUGAUUAACCCACUGAUGGUCAGUCUUUCUAGCCGUUGCUGCCACCUGCAUCAUUUCCUCCCUUGAAGCCCUGAAAUCAAACUUGUCAAUUUAUAAAGGACAAAAUUCUUUGUUAAGUGAAAUGCCUCAUACUUAGGCACAAGUAAAGCUUUUCUGAUGCAGGGAUAGGAACUGAUUCCAUUUUCUCUCCCUAGUUUGUUCCCUGCAUCAGAAUAUUUUCAAACUUGGAAAGCCUUUUAUCACUGAAGCUUUUUAGAAAUGAUGGAUUCCCAGGCCCUGGCCUGUGUUUACAGUCUCUGAGGCUGGGAGUUGGCAGUGCGUUUCCUAAAGACCUUCAUGAGAUUGGGGGUUGGGGUGUGAGCAGGGUUUGAGAAGCAGUAACACUACCCUGUAAUAUCCAACUCAGUAUUCGGCAAAAAGUAAGCACAUAAUACUAUUUGAGGAUAGAACAAUUUAAAGGAGGAUUUAAAAAUAUUUUUAAUUAUAUUAUAUAUAAUAUAGACAUAAAUAUGUAUAUUAUAUAAUAUAGACAUACAUAUUCCUGAAAAAUCUCAGGAACAACUUGACUCUACCUUUGACUCAAAGUAAAUAUUCAUAUUAAUAAAAUGCACACAUGGGUAUUCCAGAGCAUUGAGUUUAAAUUAAAAAUAUUAAAAGUCCCUAAGAUUGUGAAUAGACCCAAUGUGAGAUACAUAUAAAACACACACACACAACGCAUGUGCAUGCACACAUACAGGUUUUUGGAAAAUAAAAAUUUUAAAGAGCAUAGAAGAGUUGGAAGCCACUCUAGAAUUCAUAUAAUCUAGGCUUUAAAAACAAUCUAUUUGACCAUCAUAAUCAUCAGGGAAGAUGUGUAGAAGGAUCAGUUAUGAAAAUCUCCUCCUUAAGUACUGAAUCUAAAUUUCAGAGAGGGACCCUGGGACUCUGUAUGGUUUAAAAUUUUGAAAACACAUCCCAUGAUUCAUGUGGGAAUUCUAACUUUUCUUCCAAGUGUCUCUGUUCUUUCAGUGCUUGCCUGGAUGAUGUGGCUUCCUGCCAUUGAUCAUCUGGUCACUGUCCUUUGAGCAAAUCUAUCUGCCUGGUUCUCACUGAAAGCACAGUGGCAGAUGUGUAGCUGAGAGAGGGCGUCUUUCUCCACAUUCUGGAUUCUGGUCUACCAGAGCAUCAAGAUCCAGUAAAAGCUGUGUCAGAGUUUAUGGAGUGAAGUCUACAGCACUUUCCACACCUCUCCUUGGAUUCUAACUCGGUGGCCUCUGAAGGCUGUGCUCCAGGAUGGCUCUCCUUCUUGUGUGGGCUUUGGCCUUGGGCCUUGCUGACAGGAAUCACCUGGAGUUUUAGGAAGAAGUCUGCUGCACAGACGGAGCCCUCAUGGAGAACCUAUGCCAGGGCAGUACAGAAGGGAAACAUGGGGUUGGAGCUCCCGCACAGAGUCUCCACUGGGGCACUGCCUAAUGGAGCUGUGAGAAGAGGGCCACCAUCCUCCAGACCCCAGAAUUGUAGAUCUCGAAACAGCUUGCACCAUGUGCCUGAAAAAGCUUCAAGCACUCAAUGCCAGCCCAUGAAGGAGUUGCCCAAGGCUGUGGGAGCCACCCCUUGCUUCAGCAUGCCCCAGAUGUGAGACAUGGAGUCAAGGGGAUCAUUUUGGAGCUUUAAGAUUUAAUGACUGCUGGGUUUCAGAUUUGCAUGGGACCUGCAAUCCCUUUGUUUUGGCCAGUUUCUCCCAUUUAGAAUGGGAGCAUUUAUCCAAUGCCUGUACUUUCAUUGCAUUAUGGAAGUAACUAACUUGCUUUUGAUUUUACAGGCUCAUUGGCAAAAGGGACUUGCCUUGUGUCAAAUGAGAUUUUUGACUGUAAAUUUGGGCUGAUGCUAAAAUGAAGUAAGACUUUCAGGGACAGUUGGAAAAGCAUGAUUCAUUUUGAAAUGUGAAAAGACAUGAGAUAUUGGAGGGGCCAGGGACGGAAUGAUACGGUUUGGCUCUGUGUCCCUACCCAAAUCCCAUCUCACGUGUGAUUUCCACAUGUCAAGGGAGGGAGGUGAUUGGAACAUGGGGGCGGUUUCCCUCAUGCUUUUCUCAUGAUAGUGAGUUCUCAUGAGAUCUGAUUUUUUUUUUUAGAUGGAGUUUUCCUUUUGUUGCCCAGGCUGGAGUGCAAUGGCAUGAUCCAACCUCCACCUCCUGGGUUCAAGCAAUUCUCCUGCCUAAGCCUCCUAAGUAGCUAGGAUUAUAGUCACCUGCCACCAUGUCCAGCCAAUUUUUUGUAUUUUUAGUCGAGAUAGGUUUCACUAUGAUGGCCAAGCUGGUCUCAAACUCCUGACCUCAGGAGAUCCACCCUCCUCAGUCUCCCAAAGUGCUGGUAUUACAGGCAUGAGCCAUUGUGCCCGGCUAAUUUGAUGGUUUUAUAAGUGUUCAGAAGUUCUUCCUUUGUUCUUCUCUCUAGAAGGUGCCUGCUUCUCUAUACACCAUGAUUAUAAGUUUCCUGAUGCCUCUCCAGCCAUCCACAACUGAGUCAAUUAAAUCUCUUCCUUUAUAAAUUACCCAGUCUCAGGGAAGUUCUUUAUCGCAGUGUGAAAAAAGACUAAUACACUGACCCAGCAGAGACUGACUCUCCCAGGGCUAGCCAAUUCCUAGAGAUAGUAAAUGGCUCACCUGCAAGCUUAUUUUUCAUAUGCCAACUGUUCCCCAUCAUUCUGAAGCAGCUGGAUUGCUAAAAUGGUGGAUGAGUCACAGUUACACCACCAACUAGGUGACAAUACUUUACAGAGUUGGAGCAAAGUUCUCCAGAAGGCUGUGUAUGCUCUGUAUCGGUGUCCCAUGUAUGGUACUUUCUCCCAUAGCCAAGAUUCAUGGAUCCAGGAAUCAAGGGGUCGAAGGGGAAGUGGUACCACUCACUAUCAACCCUAGUGACUCACUAGCAAAAUUUUUUCUUCCAUUCCCGUGACAUUACAUUCUGCUGGCCUAGAAGUCUUAAUUCCUAGAGGGAGGAAUGCUGCCACCAGGAGACACAACAAUUUCAUUAAACUGGAAGUUAAGAUUGCCAUCCGGACACUUUGAGCUCCUCCUAUCUCUAUGUCAGCAGGCUAAAAAGGGAGUUACAGUGUUGGGUGGAGUGAUUAACCAGGACUAUCAAGAUGAAAUCAGUCUACUAUUCCGCAGUGGAAGUAAGGAAAAGUAUGUGUGGAAUACAGGACAUCCCUAAGAGCAUUUCUUAGUAUUACCAUGCCCUGUGAUUAAGGUCAAUAAGAAGCUACAACAGCUCAAUCCAGGAGGACUACAAAUGGCCCAGACUUUUCAGGAAUGAAGGUCUGGGUCACUUCACCAGGUAAAAAACCAUGACCUGCUGAGGUGCUUGCGGGGGGCAAAGGGAAGACAGAAUGGGUAGUAGAAUAGGGUAGUCAUCAAUACCAGCUAUGACCAUAUGACCAGUUGCAGAAACAAGGACUGUAAUUGUCAUGACUAUUUCCUCCUUAUUUUGUUAAGAAGAUGUUUAUGUAUGUAUACACUUGUACUAAGAAAACAUCUUAAUUUUCUUUUCCCUUUAUCAUGUGACAUAGAUUUAUUGACUUCAUAACAUCAUUUAAGUAUUGUUAACUUUAUGUAGUAGCAUUUGGGUUGAGGAUUGGUGUGUUUCCAGUUGUACAAAGCAUAGCUAUCUUAUGUUAGGCAUAAUUAUGAUCCCAUUAUUAUCUUUAGUUGAAUAUUAUGUGUUAUUUCAGGAGAUAUGUAUGAGAUAUGUAUGGGUUCAAGUUUGGCAAGGGGUGGACUUGUGAUGGUUAAUACUAAGUGUCAACUUAA
Long non-coding RNA from Callithrix jacchus (white-tufted-ear marmoset), 14099 nucleotides. RefSeq lists it as uncharacterized. Lineage: Eukaryota; Metazoa; Chordata; Mammalia; Primates; Cebidae. The record is from RefSeq and is a predicted model, not a curated record.